GAUGAACGCUGGCGGCGUGCUUAACACAUGCAAGUCGAACGGAAAGGCUCCUGCUUGCAGGGGUACUCGAGUGGCGAACGGGUGAGUAACACGUGGGUGAUCUGCCCUGCACUUCGGGAUAAGCCUGGGAAACUGGGUCUAAUACCGGAUAGGACGAUGGUUUGGAUGCCAUUGUGGAAAGUUUUUCGGUGUGGGAUGAGCUCGCGGCCUAUCAGCUUGUUGGUGGGGUAAUGGCCUACCAAGGCGUCGACGGGUAGCCGGCCUGAGAGGGUGUACGGCCACAUUGGGGCUGAGAUACGGCCCAGACUCCUACGGGAGGCAGCAGUGGGGAAUAUUGCACAAUGGGCGCAAGCCUGAUGCAGCGACGCCGCGUGGGGGAUGACGGCCUUCGGGUUGUAAACUCCUUUCGCUAGGGACGAAGCGUUUUGUGACGGUACCUGGAGAAGAAGCACCGGCUAACUACGUG
RNAcentral lists this ribosomal RNA (466 nucleotides) under uncultured bacterium. Its description in RNAcentral is "partial 16S ribosomal RNA". It matches the Rfam family "Bacterial small subunit ribosomal RNA", at positions 28 to 507 of the family's 1533-position model. The record is from RNAcentral.